Molecule: ribosomal RNA, 255 nt
Filed under: uncultured bacterium
Lineage: Bacteria
Description: partial 16S ribosomal RNA
Rfam family: Bacterial small subunit ribosomal RNA
Source: RNAcentral
UACGAAGGGUGCAAGCGUUACUCGGAAUUACUGGGCGUAAAGCGUGCGUAGGCGGUUCGUUAAGUCUGACGUGAAAUCCCCGGACUCAACCUGGGACGUGCGUUGGAAACUGGCGAUCUAGAGUACGGUAGAGGGUGGUGGAAUUCCCGGUGUAGCAGUGAAAUGCGUAGAGAUCGGGAGGAACACUCGUGGCGAAGGCGGCCACCUGGACCGAGUACUGACGCUGAGGCACGAAAGCGUGGGGAGCAAACAGGG